AGCAUUUCCUAUUAAUUCUUGCAUGAAUAUUCACUGUAAAGAGUAGAUAUCCUGGAGGAAAGCAGGUAUAGCAUUAUUGAAAAUAAUUUUUUGCGGACGUUUACCAGCAAAUAGAAUCAAUGAAUUUCUGAAGUGUUUGAGAACUAUUUGAUGAUUCAAUGAAGAAUAGAAUGACAACUUGUCUAGAUUGCUCCUGAAAUAUAUUCAGCUUAUUAAAUGGAUGGUCAGAUAAUAAGCUUGACUUACAACUACACUUACAACUUUGCUAAAGAAAGAACAGCUUGGAUUAACCUUUUCUCCAUGCAAAGAACAAUAAUAAAUCAAGCUAACUGGAAAUACAAUUUUAUUAACUUAACUUCUUAUUCAGAUAGUUUUUGUUAAAGUUUGGGAGUUUUCAUUGCUAUUAUUGGAACCAUUUUUUUUAUUUUAUAGCAACUUUGUUAUCAAACAUAGCUUCUAUUGUUAUUUCAAUCUCCUGAGAAAAUUAAUUUUAUAGGUGAUUUUCCUCCCUAUAAUCACUGAGGCCUGAGUCUUUCUAAAUCAAGCAGAAGAUGGAGAACAUUCGUGCAGUAGAUUGCUUCAGACAUAGUGUAUUCCUGAAAGGAUUGUCCAUCUCUGAACCAAAGUUAUAGUUGCUGUACAUCCAAUAGUUGGCUGUUCUACCUUUUGAAAUAAAAUAGAAUCUAUACUGAUUAUAAGAUUCUUUUCUGGUUAUAUGGAAAGAGAUCCAUGGUCUCAACUUAGAUCACUAAAUUUUCCAAAGCACAAUUUUUUAUGAUAUCAAUUCUUCUCUUUCGUUUCUUUUUAAAGCAUCAUGGAUUGCUAAAAGUUUUGAUUUCAGAAAUUAAAGCCUUUUCUCCAGAAUUCUGACGAUCUGCUCCCAAAAUGGGCAGAAAUUUUAUUGUGAAAUGAAUUUAAAACUAUUUCUUCUGAAUGGACAGAAGAGAUAUCCAUCUUCACAGGCAAUUUCUCUUUAGCUGCCUGGAUUUUCUUGUAAUAAAUACUUAUUUUCUUCAUAAAUAUUAUGACUACAUUAUUGGAAAAACUGCUGGAUCACACCCACAUCUUUAACCUAGUAUCUUGGUUUCUAUAGUAGUCAAAAAAAUGCUAUGGAAAGCCUGUAGAACAUCCCCUCUGAUCACUGCUGUGUUUCAGUCACUGGUCAGAAAAAAUACAGUCUCUGAUUCUGGAAAUGGCUACUAAUAGCUAUGUCUAUAUAUGCCUUGAAUUCCUGUCAUCCAUGAACGUAUCAUAUUCUCUUAAAGCCUUCAAGAUUAGUAAUCAUCAUUCAGGUAAAUGAAAUUUAAAGAUAAGUAACAUUAGUUUUUUAAUUACACAAUGCUUCUUUUAAUUGGACCAGUGAUACAAGUGUUUUUAUUCUGAAGCUUUCUACGUUUCAGGUUCUUAACGUUUUUAUGUUGGAAUCAUGUAUCUGCCGGCCUGAGAGUGGAUGCUAAUUUUAUUCCUUCCAAAUUGUAUUGGUUUUUUUUAGAAGACAAAAAUGAUCAAGAAGACCAAGUAAAGAAAAGGCAGAACUGUAGUUGCAGCACAGAUGGAAAAAAUAAACACUUUCCUAUACUGUUUUUCCAUUGUCUGCUUUUCAUCAAAAAUUUCCAACGUUGAAUUUUUCUUUCGGAGUUUAUUCUUCCAAAUGAAUGUAUUCUUAUCAAAAAGAUAAUUGUUUUUCAUGGAGUAAAUAACUAAGUUACCAACAUAAACACCCAUCUCCAAAGUACAUUAUAGAACAAAUGUUAUUGUUAUGAAAUAGCACAGCUAUUUCAGUUGAUUCUUCAGAAACCAGAAUGGUAAUUGCCUAUUGAAUUGUACAUAAGAAGAAAAAUAAAUAAAUGGACAGUACAGUCAUUCCACCCUAAAGUGCCAGGAUUUUAACUACCAUCUGAGAAUUAAGUAUUGUGAUAUUCUAUACUGCUGCUACCUGUAGUAAACAUAUCCUGUUUCUCUUAGACAACUGCCAAAUUUCAGAUACUGAGAGCAAAAAGAACAUAAUCUGGUGGUAUGAGUACAGGAUGGGAAGAAUCAGCCUUUGGAUCUGAAGCAGAAACCAACAAAUAACCAGUGCAAAUUAAUCAAUUUGCUGGGCCAGCAACUUUUUCCUCAGCCUUUCCAGACAAUUGUCAAUAGCAGCUUGUUAAAGAAAUGGAAUAUGGAAGUUCGUAGAACAUAAGCAUACAGUUCCAGAAAACAAUGUUCCUAAAGUCUCAGCCGCUAAAAAGUGUUCAUGCUUCUUGCAGUUAGAAGUGGCUUCAGAUCAAGCAGUGCCUAAGAGCUGCAGUCUACAUUCCAAAUAAUGGCACUAUCUAUUUCUAAAUCAGGCAGCCUAUCAAACAGCAAUAUUUCUAUACAAAUUAUAAAAAUGGUACUUUAAAUUAAUUUGAACCAAGAGUUGUAUUAAAUAAAAUGUAUUAAACAAUGACUGAGGUAUUGGGUUAUAAUUCUACUAUUAGUCCUAAACCCUAAUUUAACUAGGAAACAAGUACAUGUCCUUGGUUGGAUGAGGAACCCUGCACAUACAUGUGCCCCCUUGCUGCAUUGGUUUUCCAUCCAAAUACCAGAGUUCGGUGGACAAAAAAGGUGAAAUAUGCCAUCAUUUGUUCAGAAGGAAAAGCAAAAUUUGGAUCUAAUCUCUAAAUAGCUGAUGAGUGAAAUUUCAUCUUUUUGAAAACGUGGGUCGCUUGUGGUAUCCUGCCUGAUUGAUAUGUACUCUGCUGGGUCAGACUCUGAAGUUCACGUGUCACAUAUUUUUGAUAACUAAAAAUGUGAGAUUUCCAUUAAUAAAUGCUUUCUGUCGUUUCUAGUGGUUUUAACUGUUUUUUUCAAUCAGUUCUUGUAUUCAGUAAUACGUGCUUUUUGUGAUUAAGUUCUUUUCUGAUUUUAAAAAUACAUAUUGAGGGCUGAACUAAAUGCAGAAACCCAUGCUAAUAAAAAAAAGAUGCAAUUUUAGAAUACUUUUUUAAACAUUUGUGGAAGAGUCCCUAAAAAUAAAACUCAAACAAUUGUCAAAGAUAUUCAUGCUUAUAUAGUGGGCUUCUGAACUCUUCAUCCCACACUGUUCCCAUAUAGAAAGAUGACCUGUGAAGAUACUAUUAUAAAAUACUAUGUGGAAAUCCCUGAUACACAUAUAUGAAUUCUGAUCACGCAACACAUGCAACACUGAGAAAUAUAUCAUACCUUAUUAUUGUGAGAUACUUCCCAUUGUGAAAUUAUUGUAAGAUACACUCUUAUUGUGAGAAACACUCUUGUACUGGAUGCAGAGUGACUAUGAAUAUUUUUCAUAUUGCAGCGUUUUACAAUUUCAAAUCAAGUUUACAGUUCAGAUUGAGUAUCUUAAGAAAAUGUUUGCAGUAUAAUUCUGUUGCAGGAUAAAAUAUGUUAUAUGCUUUCUGUAUCUCUCUCUAAUCCUUCGAGCUUCUCUCUGUAUAUGAUUUAGGGUUACAUUCCGAAAAGCAAAUGGGAGAUGGAUACUUCUGAAGCAAAAUUAGACAAAUUGGAUGGGUUGCGAACUGGUACUAAGAGGAAACGUGACUGGGAAGCAAUUGCCAGCAGAAUGGAAGAUUACCUUCAGCUUCCAGAUGAUUAUGAUAGUCGUGCUUCUGAACCUGGGAAAAAAAGGGUAAGGUGGGCAGACCUUGAAGAAAAGAAGGAUGCAGACAGAAAGAGGGCCAUUGGUUUUGUUGUGGGACAAACAGACUGGGAGAAAAUCACAGAUGAAAGUGGUCAUUUUGCUGAGAAAGCCCUCAAUCGCACCAAAUACAUCUGAAUCAGUUGGCACAUGGAAGAUGUCUUCCUUUAAGGCUGUUUGCUUUGGUGAGAGAUGUACACAAGGUGGUAUGGAACAUGUCAUUGCCCAUCUAGAGAGCUUUGUGAUUCUUUCCUUUUGAAUUUUUUAUUUCAUUGUGUUCCUUGCCUAUUAACUGGCGAUAUCCAGGAUCCCCAAGUUAUAUAAAAUCCUCUUGCAUCUCAAUGUGAAAAACAUUUAUGUUAAAUCGGUAGUCUUAGCUUUUAUGUGUACAGUAGAAUUGCAAGACAGUACUGAAGCCAUUUCCUCUGCUGUACCCUGAUAGAAUGUCAGCAUUACUUUGUAUUGUUGCUUUGUGCUAUUGUCAUUUUAUACUGUACAAACUUGGUAGUUUAUUGUACUAGGAAACAGAACAAUAAACUUUCAUUAUAAACCUAA
Crotalus tigris (Tiger rattlesnake) is the source of this 4195-nucleotide long non-coding RNA. RefSeq lists it as uncharacterized. Lineage: Eukaryota; Metazoa; Chordata; Lepidosauria; Squamata; Viperidae. The transcript is spliced from 4 exons. The record is from RefSeq and is a predicted model, not a curated record.